Molecule: ribosomal RNA, 254 nt
Filed under: uncultured bacterium
Lineage: Bacteria
Description: partial 16S ribosomal RNA
Rfam family: Bacterial small subunit ribosomal RNA
Source: RNAcentral
UACGGGGGGAGCAAGCGUUGAUCGGAUUUACUGGGCGUAAAGGGCGCGUAGGCGGCCACCGCAAGUCGACUGUGAAAUCUCCGGGCUUAACCCGGAAAGGUCAGCCGAUACUGCGGGGCUAGAGUGCAGAAGGGGCAACUGGAAUUCUCGGUGUAGCGGUGAAAUGCGUAGAUAUCGAGAGGAACACCUGCGGCGAAGGCGGGUUGCUGGGCUGACACUGACGCUGAGGCGCGAAAGCUAGGGGAGCGAACGGG